Molecule: transfer RNA, 71 nt
Filed under: Verrucomicrobiota bacterium
Lineage: Bacteria; Pseudomonadati; Verrucomicrobiota
Also listed under: 2 other names
Description: Verrucomicrobia bacterium (rhizosphere metagenome) tRNA-Gln
Rfam family: tRNA
About the family: Transfer RNA (tRNA) molecules are approximately 80 nucleotides in length.
Source: RNAcentral
UGCCCUGUGGUGUAAUGGUAACACAGCGCCCUUUGGAGGCGUUAUUCUUGGUUCGAGUCCAAGCGGGGCAG